Molecule: long non-coding RNA, 269 nt
Organism: Lolium rigidum
Lineage: Eukaryota; Viridiplantae; Streptophyta; Magnoliopsida; Poales; Poaceae
Exons: 2
Source: RefSeq, a predicted model, not a curated record
AAGGAGCCAAGGUGCUUCCCAAGCUGCUGCUACACCACCACCAAAGUCUCCAGCAAAAGGAAAGAAGAAGAAGUUGACUCCAAAGAAGAAGAAACUAAGUGAGCUGUGAACUUGUGUGUGGCUGUUUGAACUCCUUUAUUUGUUGUCUAUGUGAGGUGCAAACUUGUACUGUGAGGUGCAAAGUCACUGUUAUUUUGCUACCAUGAACUACUUCUGAACCUUGUUGAACUUGUACUGUGAGGUGCAAAGUCACUGUUAUUUUGCUACUA